RNAcentral lists this ribosomal RNA (547 nucleotides) under uncultured bacterium. RNAcentral's name for it is "bacterial SSU rRNA". It matches the Rfam family "Bacterial small subunit ribosomal RNA", at positions 355 to 896 of the family's 1533-position model. The record is from RNAcentral.
UGGGGAAUAUUGCGCAAUGGGGGCAACCCUGACGCAGCCAUGCCGCGUGAAUGAAGAAGGCCUUCGGGUUGUAAAGUUCUUUCGGUAGCGAGGAAGGCACUUAGUUUAAUAGACUAGGUGAUUGACGUUAACUACAGAAGAAGCACCGGCUAACUCCGUGCCAGCAGCCGCGGUAAUACGGAGGGUGCGAGCGUUAAUCGGAAUAACUGGGCGUAAAGGGCACGCAGGCGGUGACUUAAGUGAGGUGUGAAAGCCCCGGGCUUAACCUGGGAAUUGCAUUUCAUACUGGGUCGCUAGAGUACUUUAGGGAGGGGUAGAAUUCCACGUGUAGCGGUGAAAUGCGUAGAGAUGUGGAGGAAUACCGAAGGCGAAGGCAGCCCCUUGGGAAUGUACUGACGCUCAUGUGCGAAAGCGUGGGGAGCAAACAGGAUUAGAUACCCUGGUAGUCCACGCUGUAAACGGUGUCGAUUUGGGGGUUGAACUUUAAGUUUGGCGCCCGUAGCUAACGUGAUAAAUCGACCGCCUGGGGAGUACGGCCGCAAGGUUA